This 63-nucleotide transfer RNA is filed under the name Mengenilla moldrzyki. RNAcentral describes it as "tRNA-Met". The record is from RNAcentral. Lineage: Eukaryota; Metazoa; Arthropoda; Insecta; Strepsiptera; Mengenillidae.
AAAAAGAUAAGCUAAUCUAAGCUUUUGAGUUCAUACCUCAAAUAUAAAAUUAUUUUCUUUUUA